Long non-coding RNA from Hyposmocoma kahamanoa, 311 nucleotides. RefSeq lists it as uncharacterized. The transcript is spliced from 3 exons. Lineage: Eukaryota; Metazoa; Arthropoda; Insecta; Lepidoptera; Cosmopterigidae. The record is from RefSeq and is a predicted model, not a curated record.
GCCCAAAACCAUAUCCUCAAAUUUCCAAAUAUCAGGUAGCGAAUAGCCCCAAGACCAGAUUAGUUUUAGUUACAUUUGAAUUACGAUAAAGAUCCACCAUCGAGCAUAUGGAUGAGAUCUACCCAUUGAAAACUUGAUAUGGAAGAUAUUUUAAAGAAGAACAUUUUCCACAAUGCGGAUUUGGAAAAGCUUUCUCCAGAUUACAAUCCCUCAAAUGUAUUGCUACGAAUACAAACCAGAAGACAGAUAGUAAAGGAUACUCAUUUUCAUAGAUCUUAUAAAACUACUUCGCAAAGAAAAACUUUCAAGCG